This 260-nucleotide unclassified non-coding RNA is filed under the name Hevea brasiliensis (rubber tree). The record is from RNAcentral. Lineage: Eukaryota; Viridiplantae; Streptophyta; Magnoliopsida; Malpighiales; Euphorbiaceae.
CAAUUCUGAGCAGUCCGAGAUCUGAAGUGAUUUAACUUGAAAAGGCAAUUUUCCUGUUGGAGGGGAUGUUAAAGAUGGACAACCAAUGAUCUCCACGUGUUCUAGAUGAGACAUGUUAACCUUGUUCAUUAAUCCCUCAGGCAGAGACCGGAGUUUUGUACAGAAUCGGAUUUUCAACACUUUCAGCGUCAUGGGUAACUCGCCUUCUGGAAAGCACUCAAGCGAAGGACCCUCUUCAAUCUCCAAUUCUUCAAGAAGAC